UAGGAUUGGGAACCCGCCGAAUUGAAACAUCUUAGUAGGCGGAGGAAAAGAAAGCAAUAUGCGAUGUCGUUAGUAACGGCGAGCGAAAUCGACUUAGAACAAACUGAAUCCCUUUUAGUAAUAUUAGGGAGAUGUGGUGUAUAGACAUACUUUUAGGCCUCGGGGGAUAAAUCGAAUUUUAUUUGGAAUUUUAGAACCGUAGAGGGUGAUAGUCCCGUAGAUAUAUUCUCGUUUUUGAGGUUUUGUGUAUGAUUUUUUCUUGAGUAGGAUCCGUUGGAUAUCGGGUUUGAAUGUGGGAGGCAUCAACUUCCAAUUCUAAAUACGUCUCAAGACCGAUAGAGUAUUAGUACCGUGAGGGAAUGCUGAAAAGUACCCCUAUAGGGGGGUGAAAAGUACCUGAAACCAGAUAGUGACAGCCAGAUGUGGCGCGUAAGGAAUGAAUUCUUCCGAAAGAAUCAGUGGUAACAUUGUAGUAUGAGGAGGUUGGACUAGUGUUGCAUCGUCCGUCUUGAAACACGGGCCAGGGAGUUCUUUGUUGUGGUGAGGCUAAAAGGUUUUUAUCCUUGUAGUCGUAGGGAAACCGAUAUGCCCGCAGCGUUGUUGAGGGGCAAGGUCUUAAUAGGGCCUGGAAUCACAGCAUUGAAACCCGAAGCCGGUCGAUCUAUUCCUGAGCAGGAUGAAGUCGCUCUUACGAGCGAUGGAGGUUCGCAGGGUUGUUGUUCUGCAAAACACUCUUUUGACUUGGGAAUAGUGGUGAAAGGCCAAUCAAGGCCGGCGACAGCUGGUUCCACUCGAAAUGACUCUAAGGUCAGCCUGACUGGAGGUUGGUGGCGGGGUAGAGCACUAAUUGGACGUUUAGGGAGGGAAACUUCUCGGCGUACUGUAAAACUCCGAACUCGUCACCGUCGUAGAAGGUUGGAGUGAGGGGCGCGGGGUAAGCUUGUGUCCCGAAAGAGAAACAACUCAGACUAUGGUUAAGGCCCCUAAAUACUGGAUAAGUGUAAGGGAGUCUUUGGCCCAAGACAAUGGGAAGGUGGGCUUAGAAGCAGCCACCCUUUAACGAGUUCGUAACAGAUCACCCAUCGAGGUCAGAGGCACCUAAAAUGGACGGGAAUUAAUCCAGUUGCCGAUACCAUGGAACACCUUUUUUUUGGUGAUUGUGUAGAGUGGCGACCUGUGUGGGUUGAAGAGGGGGCGUGAGUUCCUUUGGACCUUGCAGGUAUGUGGAUCCUGGUAGUAGUAGCAGCAAAGUGAGGUGAGAAUCCUUACCGCCGGAGGGGCUAGGGUUCCUUGGCAAUGUUCGUCAGCCAAGGGUUAGUCGAUCCUAAGGUCAGUCAUAAGUUGAGCUGGUCGAAAGGGAAGCAGGUUAAUAUUCCUGUACAUAGUAAAUUUGCGGUGACGUUGAGGGCUAAUUUCUGACACUUCGAGAUAUGUUUUGUAGGAUUGUCGUCCUAUUUACGUGUUUAAGCCUGGGGAGAGGUGUAAUAGCGAGAACCAGGUGUAGGCAUUAUGAGCUGGUCGUUUUUGUACUGGUUUAACUGAUUCAUGGAGUCCUUGAAAAGGGAGUUAGUUUUGUAUUUUACUAUUUCGUACCGAGAUCCGUCACAGGUGCCCCUAGCUGAGUAGGCUAAGGCGUUUUAAGGUAAACUAGCUAAGGGAAAUCGGCAAAAUGGCCCCGUAACUUUGGAAGAAGGGGUGCCAGCUAUGUGAAUAGCUGGUCUCAGUGACUAGGGGGGCCCGACUGUUUAAUAAAAACAUAGCUCUCUGCUAGCCCGUAAGGGUGUGUACAGAGGGCGACACCUGCCCAGUGCUGGCACGUGAAGCUGGAGUUCAGUUCAGUGAAGCGCCAGUAAACGGCGGGGGUAACUAUAACCCUCUUAAGGUAGCGAAAUGCCUUGUCGGACAAGUACCGACCUGCAUGAAUGGUAGAACGAGGUCCCCACUGUCCCUAGCUAGAACUUAGUGAACCUGCUAUUCUGGUGCACAAGCCAGAGUCUUCCAUUGGGAAGCGAAGACCCCGUAGAGUUUUACUGCAGUCUGUCGUUGAAGCUUGGUUAUAGGUAUGCAGUGUAAGUGGGAGAAUUCGAUUAUAAGUCGCCAGGUUUAUAUGAUUCGUUCUUGAGACACCACUUUCUUAUGACUGUGUUUCUAACUUACUUAUGUGUGAGGACAUCGGUAGAUGGGCAGUUCGGCUGGGGCGGCACGGGCUUGAAAUGGUAUCAAGCCCGCCCAAAGGUCAACUCAGGUGGGACAGAGAUCCACCGUAGAGUGUAAGGGCAAAAGUUGGCCUGACUGUAUUUCGAUCAGCAAGAA
This 2313-nucleotide ribosomal RNA is filed under the name human gut metagenome. RNAcentral's name for it is "bacterial LSU rRNA". It matches the Rfam family "Archaeal large subunit ribosomal RNA", at positions 153 to 2460 of the family's 2987-position model. The record is from RNAcentral.